RNAcentral lists this non-coding RNA (30 nucleotides) under Homo sapiens (human). Lineage: Eukaryota; Metazoa; Chordata; Mammalia; Primates; Hominidae. The record is from RNAcentral.
GCACGGACACUAGUACCGCGAGUGCUGAUU